GUGAGGAAUAUUGGUCAAUGGGCGAGAGCCUGAACCAGCCAAGUCGCGUGAAGGAAGAAGGAUCUAUGGUUCGUAAACUUCUUUUGCAGGGGAAUAAAGUGCAGGACGUGUCCUGUUUUGUAUGUACCCUGAGAAUAAGGAUCGGCUAACUCCGUGCCAGCAGCCGCGGUAAUACGGAGGAUCCGAGCGUUAUCCGGAUGUAUUGGGUUUAAAGGGUGCGUAGGUGGUUUGAUAAGUCAGCGGUGAAAGUUUGCAGCUUAACUGUAAAAAUGCCGUUGAAACUGUCGGACUUGAGUGUAAAUGAGGUAGGCGGAAUGCGUGGUGUAGCGGUGAAAUGCAUAGAUAUCACGCAGAACUCCGAUUGCGAAGGCAGCUUACUAAGCUACAACUGACACUGAAGCACGAAAGCGUGGGGAUCAAACAGGAUUAGAUACCCCAGUAGUCC
This 445-nucleotide ribosomal RNA is filed under the name uncultured bacterium. RNAcentral's name for it is "partial 16S ribosomal RNA". It matches the Rfam family "Bacterial small subunit ribosomal RNA", at positions 354 to 796 of the family's 1533-position model. The record is from RNAcentral.